Molecule: ribosomal RNA, 2250 nt
Filed under: Campylobacter coli
Lineage: Bacteria; Pseudomonadati; Campylobacterota; Epsilonproteobacteria; Campylobacterales; Campylobacteraceae
Description: partial 23S ribosomal RNA
Rfam family: Bacterial large subunit ribosomal RNA
Source: RNAcentral
AAAAAAGGUAAGCUACUAAGAGCGAAUGGUGGAUGCCUUGACUGGUAAAGGCGAUGAAGGACGUACUAGACUGCGAUAAGCUACGGGGAGCUGUCAAGAAGCUUUGAUCCGUAGAUUUCCGAAUGGGGCAACCCAAUGUAUAGAGAUAUACAUUACCUAUAUAGGAGCGAACGAGGGGAAUUGAAACAUCUUAGUACCCUCAGGAAAAGAAAUCAAUAGAGAUUGCGUCAGUAGCGGCGAGCGAAAGCGCAAGAGGGCAAACCCAGUGCUUGCACUGGGGGUUGUAGGACUGUAAUGUGCAAGAGGUGAGUUUAGCAGAACAUUCUGGAAAGUAUAGCCAUAGAGGGUGAUAGUCCCGUAUGCGAAAAACAAACCUUAGCUAGCAGUAUCCUGAGUAGGGCGGGACACGAGAAAUCCUGUCUGAAGCUGGGUCGACCACGAUCCAACCCUAAAUACUAAUACCAGAUCGAUAGUGCACAAGUACCGUGAGGGAAAGGUGAAAAGAACUGAGGUGAUCAGAGUGAAAUAGAACCUGAAACCAUUUGCUUACAAUCAUUCAGAGCCCUAUGUAGCAAUACAGGGUGAUGGACUGCCUUUUGCAUAAUGAGCCUGCGAGUUGUGGUGUCUGGCAAGGUUAAGCAAACGCGAAGCCGUAGCGAAAGCGAGUCUGAAUAGGGCGCUUAGUCAGAUGCUGCAGACCCGAAACGAAGUGAUCUAUCCAUGAGCAAGUUGAAGCUAGUGUAAGAACUAGUGGAGGACUGAACCCAUAGGCGUUGAAAAGCCCCGGGAUGACUUGUGGAUAGGGGUGAAAGGCCAAUCAAACUUCGUGAUAGCUGGUUCUCUCCGAAAUAUAUUUAGGUAUAGCGUUGUGUCGUAAUAUAAGGGGGUAGAGCACUGAAUGGGCUAGGGCAUACACCAAUGUACCAAACCCUAUCAAACUCCGAAUACCUUAUAUGUAAUCACAGCAGUCAGGCGGCGAGUGAUAAAAUCCGUCGUCAAGAGGGAAACAACCCAGACUACCAGCUAAGGUCCCUAAAUCUUACUUAAGUGGAAAACGAUGUGAAGUUACUUAAACAACCAGGAGGUUGGCUUAGAAGCAGCCAUCCUUUAAAGAAAGCGUAAUAGCUCACUGGUCUAGUGAUUUUGCGCGGAAAAUAUAACGGGGCUAAAGUAAGUACCGAAGCUGUAGACUUGCGCACAACUUAGAUUAUUUAAGUUUAGAAUAUGAGAAACUAAGUUAUAUGUUUAGUUAUAUUUUUACUGAUUUUUAUAGAGUAAAGAUAGAAAUAAAACUUAGUAAAAUCAGUAAAAAUAUUCUUAGACUAAAGUUAAGUAGUUUAAGUUGUGUGCAAGUGGUAGGAGAGCGUUCUAUUUGCGUCGAAGGUAUACCGGUAAGGAGUGCUGGAGCGAAUAGAAGUGAGCAUGCAGGCAUGAGUAGCGAUAAUUAAUGUGAGAAUCAUUAACGCCGUAAACCCAAGGUUUCCUACGCGAUGCUCGUCAUCGUAGGGUUAGUCGGGUCCUAAGUCGAGUCCGAAAGGGGUAGACGAUGGCAAAUUGGUUAAUAUUCCAAUACCAACAUUAGUGUGCGAUGGAAGGACGCUUAGGGCUAAGGGGGCUAGCGGAUGGAAGUGCUAGUCUAAGGUCGUAGGAGGUUAUACAGGCAAAUCCGUAUAACAAUACUCCGAGAACUGAAAGGCUUUUUGAAGUCUUCGGAUGGAUAGAAGAACCCCUGAUGCCGUCGAGCCAAGAAAAGUUUCUAAGUUUAGCUAAUGUUGCCCGUACCGUAAACCGACACAGGUGGGUGGGAUGAGUAUUCUAAGGCGCGUGGAAGAACUCUCUUUAAGGAACUCUGCAAAAUAGCACCGUAUCUUCGGUAUAAGGUGUGGUUCGCUUCGUAUUAGGAUUUACUCCGAAAGCGAAGAAACUUACAACAAAGAGUCCCUCCCGACUGUUUACCAAAAACACAGCACUCUGCUAACUCGUAAGAGGAUGUAUAGGGUGUGACGCCUGCCCGGUGCUCGAAGGUUAAUUGAUGGGGUUAGCAUUAGCGAAGCUCUUGAUCGAAGCCCGAGUAAACGGCGGCCGUAACUAUAACGGUCCUAAGGUAGCGAAAUUCCUUGUCGGUUAAAUACCGACCUGCAUGAAUGGCGUAACGAGAUGGGAGCUGUCUCAAAGAGGGAUCCAGUGAAAUUGUAGUGGAGGUGAAAAUUCCUCCUACCCGCGGCAAGACGGAAAGACCCCGUGGACCUU